GAUUGUUCACCCACCAAUAGGGAACGUGAGCUUGGUUUAGACCGUCAUGAGAUAGGUCAGUUUUACCCUACUAAUGACAGUAUCACAAUAGUAAUUCAACCUAGUACGAGAGGACCCGUUGAUUCGCACAAUUGGUCAUCGCGCUUGGUUGAAAAGCCAAUGGCACAAAGCUACCGUGCGCUGGAUUAUGAUUGAACGCCUCUAAGUCAAAAUCCGGGCUAGAAGCGACGCAUACGCUCGUUGCCCGCUUGCCGACCCGCAGUAGGGGUCGUCUGGCCCCCAAAGGCAUGUGGCGUUGGUGAACCACCACGCGGGCCACCUUGAAGUACAAUUCCGAUCUCGAGCAGCGGGUAGAAUCCUUUAUAGACAACUUAAAUACGCGACGGGGUAUUGUAAGUGGUAGAGUGGCCUUGCUACCACGAUCCACUGAGAU
Molecule: ribosomal RNA, 433 nt
Rfam family: Eukaryotic large subunit ribosomal RNA